AGAGAAGUAUGCUAGCGUUGGUGCCCGGGGCUGUUUGUGAUGAGAAUGGAGCCCCGCGUGAUUCUGUUGCCUCCCAAGAGUAGGAAUUAAGUCUGUUUGCUAGGUCUGGAUGAGUACUUGUUUAAUCCUGAAAACGAAAUGUUUCUACUGUUUCAAUCCCUGAGGUUUGGAUUGCUUGUUGUAAUCCUGAGGUUUUGCAUGGAAUUAAGUCUGUUUGUUAUGUGUGGAUGAGUACUUGCUUAAUCCUGAGAAUGAAAUGUUUCUACUGUUUGAAUCCCUGAGUUUAAGCAUGGAUUUCUUGUUGUAAUCCUGAGGUUUUGCAUGGAAUUAAGUCUGUUUGCUAUGUGUUGAUGAGCACUUGCUUAAUCCUGAGAAUGAAUUGUUUCUACUGUUUGAAUCCCUGAGUUUAAGCAUGGAUUUCUUGUUGUAAUCCUGAGUUUAAGCAUGAAUUAAGUCUGUUUGCUAUGUGUGGAUGAGCACUUGCUUAAUCCUGAGAAUGAAAUGUUUCUACUGUUUCAUUCCCUGAGUUUAAGCAUGGAUUUCUUGUUGUAAUCCUGGGGUUUCGCAUUGAAUUAAGUCUGUUUGCUUUGUGUGGAUGAGCACUUGCUUAAUCCUGAGAAUGAAAUGUUUCUACUGUUUGAAUC
RNAcentral lists this long non-coding RNA (644 nucleotides) under Triticum aestivum (bread wheat). RNAcentral describes it as "long non-coding RNA (TAES_LNC019058)". The record is from RNAcentral. Lineage: Eukaryota; Viridiplantae; Streptophyta; Magnoliopsida; Poales; Poaceae.